This 235-nucleotide ribosomal RNA is filed under the name uncultured bacterium. RNAcentral describes it as "partial 16S ribosomal RNA". It matches the Rfam family "Bacterial small subunit ribosomal RNA", at positions 1266 to 1500 of the family's 1533-position model. The record is from RNAcentral.
AGCAAAUCUCUUAAAGCCGUUCUCAGUUCGGAUUGUAGGCUGCAACUCGCCUACAUGAAGUCGGAAUCGCUAGUAAUCGCGGAUCAGCAUGCCGCGGUGAAUACGUUCCCGGGCCUUGUACACACCGCCCGUCACACCAUGAGAGUUUGUAACACCCAAAGCCGGUGGGGUAACCUUUUGGAGCCAGCCGUCUAAGGUGGGACAGAUGAUUAGGGUGAAGUCGUAACAAGGUAGC